This 703-nucleotide long non-coding RNA is filed under the name Volvox carteri. RNAcentral describes it as "long non-coding RNA (VCAR_LNC001715)". The record is from RNAcentral. Lineage: Eukaryota; Viridiplantae; Chlorophyta; Chlorophyceae; Chlamydomonadales; Volvocaceae.
AAGGCAGACCGCCCCCGUCACCAUCCCGUUGACAAAGGCCGUCUCACAAGAUUUGCCUGUGUGUGGGUGGCAUAACGCGUUCCUGGUUUACCUCGUGGAUGGCUACAACAAGGCGCGAAUUAACCAGAAAGUAAAAGUGUACUUUUGGUCAAGUCGGCGGAUGGACUUGGUCAAAUCCGCGAAAAGGAGGAUUGAAGCAAUCGAAUUGACACGCAAGAUAAAAUGAUUGCUCUGAGAAUAGCAUGUAUCAGGUAUGGGGAGUGAUUUGCGGUUAGCCGCAAAAGGAGAAAGGAAAUGACCGACCCGGUCAGAUGGAUUGAGUUUGCUAUUUUGGGCCCUAAUGAAGUAGGGUAGUCACAACAUUCUCCAACCCAGCAAAGCCUUAAAUUGGGGCAAAGGGGAGUACCAAAGGUGUAGGUGCAGCGGCCGCAGGCAGUUGCUUUGUUCAGUGUGGUGGGUUCGACCACCAAACGUUAACAAGUGCUUACCGCUCAUGUACUCCAUGUUGCGGUAGCGGAUGCAGCUGCCCCAGCAAGGGCAGCAGAUAACCGCCAGGGUCAAUGGGACGUUGCCGAGGCAUGAAAAGGUGCCUGCAUAGUUGAGAAGCCAUAGCAAGUGUGUGACCUCGGCGAUAGAUAGUGCGCGCUGUAAAAGCUUUUAAGUUUUGCCGUGUGAAUGUCCAGCUGGCAACGGCAACAGCGGC